Molecule: ribosomal RNA, 314 nt
Filed under: uncultured Prevotella sp.
Lineage: Bacteria; Pseudomonadati; Bacteroidota; Bacteroidia; Bacteroidales; Prevotellaceae
Description: bacterial SSU rRNA
Rfam family: Bacterial small subunit ribosomal RNA
Source: RNAcentral
UUUAGCGGUUAUGGAUGGGGAUGCGUCUGAUUAGCUUGUUGGCGGGUAACGGCCCACCAAGGCGACGAUCAGUAGGGGUCUGAGAGGAAGGUCCCCCACAUUGGAACUGAGACACGGUCCAAACUCCUACGGGAGGCAGCAGUGAGGAAUAUUGGUCAAUGGGCGAGAGCCUGAACCAGCCAAGUAGCGUGCAGGACGACGGCCCUAUGGGUUGUAAACUGCUUUUAUGUGGGGAUAAAGUGCGUGACGUGUCAUGCAUUGCAGGUACCACAUGAAUAAGGACCGGCUAAUUCCGUGCCAGCAGCCGCGGUAAU